GCAAAUCACAUUUAAAUAACUCCGAUAGGCUGCAUGUUCUAAUUAUUUAAGUUCCAUUCCAUGCUUUCCUUGUUUCCGUCAACAAUAGUCAAAAGAAUAGGUUAAAAACAUAACAUGCAUUUUUCACGAUUUUUAAAACUGGAGUCUUGGCAAUCAAAUACAUCUAGCGACUUCUAACUGAAUUGGUCAUGUGUAAGAUCAUAUUGGAAUCUAUCUCUCAUCCACACUCAUUUGCAUGCAUGGUCACAUAGAUACAGAAACCUUCUCAGACAUAUCCUAUCCUGAACAAUGUAUCUAACUUUUCCACUUGAUUGUGUAUAGAAUCAAAGAACUUAGUGAAUAGGUAAUAUGUGUUGUUCUGGAGUUGGUUCCUAAGAUUGCUUCUCAGAUAGCAAUGAAUCUUUGACAUCGUCAUGCAAAUGAUGCAGCUGUUUCAACAACCAUUAACGUAUUUCUACAAUUGACCCUUUAUAAUUUCCAUGAUAGAUGUUCAUAAACAGAUACAUACAAUUUCAUUCUUAAGUAUCAUCUUUAAUUGAUGAUGAGAUUUGUUGUAUUUGGUUUUUUUUCCAUUGAAUUUACUCAUUUAAACUUCAAUUUUCUUCUUUGGAAGCCAAAUAGAGCAUUCUUAUAAUCUGUCUUGUUGUUUUUGUAGUGUUGAAGAUUUUCUUGUUGACAUAUAUUAGACUUGUUUCUAAACCUCCUGGUUCUCUUUUAAGGAGAAGUUCUCAUACACAUCUAGAUCUCAUUGCUGCUUCUGACACAUGAUUAUUAGUUGGGGAACUGUUGAAGUAACACCAUGACAGUUUGCAAGCCACUGCAUUGUAAAACCAUUAAAAGAUUCUUUUCAACAUAUCAUUCCAUCCUCUUAUUCUCCAUAAAGUUUUAUUCCUACCGUAAGUUGCAUGUUAUGAAUCCAAAAAUGCAUGGAUCUUUAAAGACAUUUUACACAUUUUAACCUCUACACAGUUUUAGUCCUGCUAUAAUGAUGCACAUCAAGCCAAGUAUAUUUCUCUAAUCUUGUAGAUAAUUAAAUCAACUUUGGCAAUGUCCUUAUUCUAAAUUCUAAGCCCGUUUGCUUUAGAAUAAGUAUAUCACAUAUGAGAUUUUAUGUUUUCAGCUUACCUAUAAAUUAUGUAAUAUCAUUUGCAGGAAACCUUUCUCUGCCAGAUGCUAUUAUGUCCUCGUGCCUAUUGUGGAACCUGAAAUUCUUCUAGAUGGAGACCACCCAAUUGAGAGGACACUUGAAGUGGCAGAGCGUGUGUGGUCUACUACUUAGCAGAGAACAAUACUGUCUUUGAAGGCGUUCUACUUAAACCUAGCAUGGUAACUCUAAGUGCUGAGGACAAAGAGAAGCCUUUUUCAAAUACCAUUGCCAAAAGAUACACUCACCAUGCUCAAAAGGAGAGUGCCUCUGACAGUUCCAGGAAUCGUGGUAAAAAACUCAACCCCCUAUCAAUUAAGUUGAUACUGCGAUUUUUAAACCUUUGAGUCCCGAGGCACCGGAUAUGUACACAUCGACCACCGAUACGAUGUUGAAAGUUUCAACACAUGUCAUUUCUAAUAUCAAUAGUUUGAUCAUUGAAGAGUACACUGGGUCGAUUAACACGAGUGAGGGUUUUGAAUUUUGAAAUUAAGAAAAUUUGCCAUUGGAUCUUGAAAGGGGAUUGGGUGAUUUGAGUAGGGUGGGAGAAAGAAGUUUGGACUCUAUGCGAUGGAAUAGAUUGGUAAUUAUUUGUGACAUUAGAC
RNAcentral lists this long non-coding RNA (1749 nucleotides) under Olea europaea subsp. europaea. Lineage: Eukaryota; Viridiplantae; Streptophyta; Magnoliopsida; Lamiales; Oleaceae. The record is from RNAcentral.